Oncorhynchus keta (chum salmon) is the source of this 187-nucleotide long non-coding RNA. RefSeq lists it as uncharacterized. The transcript has 3 exons. NCBI's taxonomy places the organism in Eukaryota, Metazoa, Chordata, Actinopteri, Salmoniformes, Salmonidae. The record is from RefSeq and is a predicted model, not a curated record.
AUCUAGAUGAGGUUACAUCUAGAUGAGGUUACACAUAGAUGAGGUUACACAUAGAUGAGGUUACACAUAGAUGAGGUAACACAUAGAUGAUGUAACACAUAGAUGAGGUUACAUCUAGAUGAGGUAACACAUAGAUGAGGUAACACAUAGAUGAGGUUUCAUCUAGAUGAGGUAACACAUAGAUGAG